RNAcentral lists this ribosomal RNA (446 nucleotides) under uncultured bacterium. RNAcentral describes it as "partial 16S ribosomal RNA". It matches the Rfam family "Bacterial small subunit ribosomal RNA", at positions 338 to 795 of the family's 1533-position model. The record is from RNAcentral.
CCUACGGGAGGCAGCAGUCGAGAAUCAUUCACAAUGGGGGAAACCCUGAUGGUGCGACGCCGCGUGGGGGAAUGAAGUUCUUCGGAUUGUAAACCCCUGUCAUGUGGGAGCAAAUUAAAAAGAUAGUACCACAAGAGGAAGAGACGGCUAACUCUGUGCCAGCAGCCGCGGUAAUACAGAGGUCUCAAGCGUUGUUCGGAAUCACUGGGCGUAAAGCGUGCGUAGGCUGUUUCGUAAGUCGUGUGUGAAAGGCGCGGGCUCAACCCGCGGACGGCACAUGAUACUGCGAGACUAGAGUAAGGGAGGGGGAACCGGAAUGCUCGGUGUAGCAGUGAAAUGCGUAGAUAUCGAGAGGAACACUCGUGGCGAAGGCGGGUUCCUGGACAUUAACUGACGCUGAGGCACGAAGGCCAGGGGAGCGAAAGGGAUUAGAUACCCGAGUAGUC